UUAAAUUGAAGAGUUUGAUCAUGGCUCAGAUUGAACGCUGGCGGCAGGCCUAACACAUGCAAGUCGAACGGUAACAGGAAGCAGCUUGCUGCUUCGCUGACGAGUGGCGGACGGGUGAGUAAUGUCUGGGAAACUGCCUGAUGGAGGGGGAUAACUACUGGAAACGGUGGCUAAUACCGCAUAACGUCGCAAGACCAAAGAGGGGGACCUUCGGGCCUCUUGCCAUCAGAUGUGCCCAGAUGGGAUUAGCUUGUUGGUGAGGUAACGGCUCACCAAGGCGACGAUCCCUAGCUGGUCUGAGAGGAUGACCAGCCACACUGGAACUGAGACACGGUCCAGACUCCUACGGGAGGCAGCAGUGGGGAAUAUUGCACAAUGGGCGCAAGCCUGAUGCAGCCAUGCCGCGUGUAUGAAGAAGGCCUUCGGGUUGUAAAGUACUUUCAGCGGGGAGGAAGGUGUUGUGGUUAAUAACCGCAGCAAUUGACGUUACCCGCAGAAGAAGCACCGGCUAACUCCGUGCCAGCAGCCGCGGUAAUACGGAGGGUGCAAGCGUUAAUCGGAAUUACUGGGCGUAAAGCGCACGCAGGCGGUCUGUCAAGUCGGAUGUGAAAUCCCCGGGCUCAACCUGGGAACUGCAUUCGAAACUGGCAGGCUUGAGUCUUGUAGAGGGGGGUAGAAUUCCAGGUGUAGCGGUGAAAUGCGUAGAGAUCUGGAGGAAUACCGGUGGCGAAGGCGGCCCCCUGGACAAAGACUGACGCUCAGGUGCGAAAACGUGGGGAGCAAACAGGAUUAGAUACCCUGGUAGUCCACGCCGUAAACGAUGUCUACUUGGAGGUUGUGCCCUUGAGGCGUGGCUUCCGGAGCUAACGCGUUAAGUAGACCGCCUGGGGAGUACGGCCGCAAGGUUAAAACUCAAAUGAAUUGACGGGGGCCCGCACAAGCGGUGGAGCAUGUGGUUUAAUUCGAUGCAACGCGAAGAACCUUACCUGGUCUUGACAUCCACAGAAGAAUCCAGAGAUGGAUUUGUGCCUUCGGGAACUGUGAGACAGGUGCUGCAUGGCUGUCGUCAGCUCGUGUUGUGAAAUGUUGGGUUAAGUCCCGCAACGAGCGCAACCCUUAUCCUUUGUUGCCAGCGAUUAGGUCGGGAACUCAAAGGAGACUGCCAGUGAUAAACUGGAGGAAGGUGGGGAUGACGUCAAGUCAUCAUGGCCCUUACGACCAGGGCUACACACGUGCUACAAUGGCGCAUACAAAGAGAAGCGACCUCGCGAGAGCAAGCGGACCUCAUAAAGUGCGUCGUAGUCCGGAUUGGAGUCUGCAACUCGACUCCAUGAAGUCGGAAUCGCUAGUAAUCGUGGAUCAGAAUGCCACGGUGAAUACGUUCCCGGGCCUUGUACACACCGCCCGUCACACCAUGGGAGUGGGUUGCAAAAGAAGUAGGUAGCUUAACCUUCGGGAGGGCGCUUACCACUUUGUGAUUCAUGACUGGGGUGAAGUCGUAACAAGGUAACCGUAGGGGAACCUGCGGUUGGAUCACCUCCUUACCUUAAAGAA
Molecule: ribosomal RNA, 1554 nt
Filed under: Salmonella enterica subsp. enterica serovar Dublin str. SA20093032
Lineage: Bacteria; Pseudomonadati; Pseudomonadota; Gammaproteobacteria; Enterobacterales; Enterobacteriaceae
Description: bacterial SSU rRNA
Rfam family: Bacterial small subunit ribosomal RNA
Source: RNAcentral